GACGAACGCUGGCGGCGUGCCUAACACAUGCAAGUCGAACGAAGCAUAGCAAUAUGCUUAGUGGCGGACGGGUGAGUAACGCGUGAACAAUCUGCCCUGUACAAAGGAAUAGCCUCGGGAAACCGGGAUUAAAACCGUAUGACACUUUAGUAUCGCAUGAUAAGAAAGUCAAAUCGAUUAGAGGUAUGGGAUGAGUUCGCGUCUGAUUAGCUGGUUGGCGGGGUAACGGCCCACCAAGGCGACGAUCAGUAGCCGGCCUGAGAGGGUGAACGGCCACACUGGAACUGAGAGACGGUCCAAACUCCUACGGGAGGCAGCAGUGGGGAAUAUUGGGCAAUGGGGGAAACCCUGACCCAGCAACGCCGCGUGAGGGAAGAAGGUUUUCGGAUUGUAAACCUCUGUUCUUGGAGAAGAGAAGAAGACGGUAUCCAAGGAGGAAGCCCGGCUAACUACGUGCCAGCAGCCGCGGUAAGACGUAGCGUG
Molecule: ribosomal RNA, 483 nt
Filed under: uncultured bacterium
Lineage: Bacteria
Description: bacterial SSU rRNA
Rfam family: Bacterial small subunit ribosomal RNA
Source: RNAcentral